GAGCAGACCAAGGUGUCGGUGGAGAACGGGGACGCCCCCAGCCCGGAGAAGAACGGGCCCCUGCCCUCGGAGCUGGAGGCGCUGAGUGCGGCGCUGC
Onychostruthus taczanowskii (white-rumped snowfinch) is the source of this 97-nucleotide long non-coding RNA. RefSeq lists it as uncharacterized. The transcript is spliced from 3 exons. NCBI's taxonomy places the organism in Eukaryota, Metazoa, Chordata, Aves, Passeriformes, Passeridae. The record is from RefSeq and is a predicted model, not a curated record.